CUAUGGUCGGCACGUCUGGUAGCAUCUCUGGCUGCUGUUGAUCUUGUUUUUGGAGUAAAACACGGUGGAAGCUGAAUUAGUGAGGAUGACUCCUGCUCCUGUCAUCUCUAAGCUCCUCACACAUCUUUACCUGCACAUGAGGAAAAUCACUCCUGUAGAAUGCAGAUGUUCAGAGGGAGAUGAUGCCACAUCUGGUCCAGCUGAUGGAAGGUCUUGAAGUUCUCUGACUGGCCUCGACUGAAGAUGGUCGUCUCUCUGGAUUUAAGGUUCAGAUGCUCAGUAACAAACUCCACCAAUGUGCCAACAGGGAAGCUUUAGGUUUAUUAAAUGUUGCUAUGAAGGUAUCACUGUUUUUCUUUGUGAAUGCAAUGUGCUCCAACUGAAACUUGAAUUAGAACUUAGAAGUAAAUCCUUCCAUCUGAAAGGAUUUAGUUGCAUUAAUAACCUCAUAACAUUCUAAUUUUUAUUCCAGUCUUGGUUGGAAAUAGAAUCUCUGUAUUGAUUCAGGUAAAAACUGAACUUCACAGCAUGUUGGAGCAAAACAACCAGAUGAAAACUGUGAUGGUGUUGGAUUGUCAGACUGUAAUGUUGCAGCUCAAAGCAGCUUUUCUAGCUCAGUUCAUUCUGACAUUCAGCUAUGAAUCAACACAGCAGAUGGUGAUCCAUGCUGUGGAAGUCUCACAUCUCCUGAUUUAAUGGAGCUGCUUUGCACUUUUUACACUGUUUAUUCACCAACACUUUAAUAAAAGUCCCAUCUAGUUUUUAUGAGGAAUGCGAUGUUUUAAUUUCUCUGUGAAUAACUGCAGUCUAAUGCAACAGCUGGAAUUGUAACAUCUGUCCUGAUACUGAUCAUGAAGUAUUGAUCAGAAUACUUAUGGUCAGCAGUCAUCCCUGAAGUUUUAUAUUAAAAUCUUUACUUGUGUGUGAACUUUGGUAAGAAAACCUUACAGUAUUGAGAUUAAGAAAUCAAAUAUUCUAUAAAAUGUAAAUACACUGAACUCAUUUGGAUAUAUUUGAGACUCUACAAUAUUUGACACAAAUCUAUCUAAAUCAAAAUUUUAAUAAUUUUCACGCCAAACAUUUACUGGACUGAUUGAAAUAUUAAAAUCACUCCUUUCUAAUCUUCUGCUGUAUGUUCAAACCUGAGGCCUUAAAUAGAAACACACAAGUAUCUGAUUGAAGGAACUUCUGCAGAGUCCUGGUUCCAGAACAUGAUGAUAGAAUUAUAGACAAACUUUAACAAAAGCUGCCUGAGAGUUUACAGGUUUUUAUGUUAGAUUUCUUCAGUAAUUUAAUGAGUUAUCAGCAAAAAUCAAGUGUUCAUUUGAUGAACUUCAUUUCCUAAAACAUCCAGAAUUGGAGCUCAUAUCUUUGGCAGCUGUAAAGUUUCUGCUCCUUCAAAGUUCACAACACAAUGAAUGAAUUCCUAAAACACUCUCAAUGCUGGAGAGCGUUUGUGAUGCUGAAGCAGUGAUCAGUUUUUCUGUUUCUUCUCUGGAGAUGCACAAUGAGGGACGUCUGCAGCGACUGAGAAAGAGUCUCACCACAUCCUGACAUGAGGAAAAAGACUUUACUGAAAACUACAAUGAGAAAAACUAUCAGACAGCAGACGGCUGCAUUCAAGGUGAGCUCUGAACAUCUAAUCUGGAACAGGAAUUCAAUAACGGCAGCAUGAGCUUCAUUUCAGUCUGUAGCUGCUGAAUUCAUGGAUGAAUCAUCUGGCACUAGAGAAGAAGACCAUCAAACAUCCACGUCAGCUGAUGGAGGUCCAAGAGUCUCACCAAACAAACAACCUACAGAGUGAAGACCUCAAAUCUGAUUGGACGGCCUCCUAUUCAGCCACGUGUGAACAAAUGCCUCUAA
Molecule: long non-coding RNA, 1863 nt
Organism: Amphiprion ocellaris (clown anemonefish)
Lineage: Eukaryota; Metazoa; Chordata; Actinopteri; Pomacentridae
Exons: 3
Source: RefSeq, a predicted model, not a curated record